This 82-nucleotide transfer RNA is filed under the name Micromonospora andamanensis. RNAcentral's name for it is "tRNA-Met". The record is from RNAcentral. Lineage: Bacteria; Bacillati; Actinomycetota; Actinomycetes; Micromonosporales; Micromonosporaceae.
GUCGGCGUGGCCGGCAUGCCGGACGGUCUCGCUCGUCAUGUGGGCGAGCACCCAGCGAAGCGUACGAGGCGCGUCACCGACC